RNAcentral lists this transfer RNA (72 nucleotides) under Octopus vulgaris (common octopus). It matches the Rfam family "tRNA". From Rfam's summary of the family: Transfer RNA (tRNA) molecules are approximately 80 nucleotides in length. Their secondary structure includes four short double-helical elements and three loops (D, anti-codon, and T loops). The record is from Rfam by way of RNAcentral. Lineage: Eukaryota; Metazoa; Mollusca; Cephalopoda; Octopoda; Octopodidae. RNAcentral also lists the same sequence under 1 other name.
GGUUUCAUGGUGUAAUGGUUAGCACUCUGGACUUUGAAUCCAGCGAUCUGAGUUCGAGUGUCGGUGAAACCU